Molecule: non-coding RNA, 1962 nt
Organism: Callithrix jacchus (white-tufted-ear marmoset)
Lineage: Eukaryota; Metazoa; Chordata; Mammalia; Primates; Cebidae
Source: RefSeq, a predicted model, not a curated record
AGCAGACACUGCGGUACAGACGGGGGCAGCGGCGGCGGCGGCGGCUGCACCGGCGGCGGCGGCACCACACAAACAAGGACGCUGAUUGGGCAGCUGCCAAGCGCCUCGGCCCCGCCUUACCCACACGCCACGACGCCCAUUGGGCGACCUAAGCCGGCCACCCCGCCCUCAUCUUCUCGGCCAUACCAAUAGAAGACUAGAUGCUGUGACUUCACCCCACCCUUGAAGAAUGAGUGGCCGGAGAAGCGAUGAUUGGCGUGCUUAAAACCCAAUCAUAAACGGAGGAGGGGGGAUGGUCUAGCGGGGGCGCGUUAAUGGGUACCUCGGCCAGUCCCAGACACAUCCGGGUCUUCGACAGCCCAUUAAGUGUCGGGGGUCAAAAAAUCGCUUCAGGCUGCAACUUUACCUUAGAGACGUUUUAGUCCCCAGGCAGCCGCCGUACCCCAGGCUCUCCAAACCGGGAUUCCCCUUUGGCCAGCUCUCAUUCUUUCAAUUCUAAAGAUGGAGACUGGCGAACGGCGCUGGGGUCUGCGGUGGGCGGUGUUUCGUCGCGACAGAAUCUAGGAAUUUCACGAUGGAACUAGCUUUAGGCGCUUGGGCCUUGCCGUCUUUUUGGGGUGUGGCCUGUCUUCGUCUGCCAAAAGCUUUGAGCUUCCUGGUGUUCGUCGUACCUCCGCUUGGUCCUGUCGUGACUAAACCACGACAGCGGGGAAAAAAAAAAAAAAAAAAAAAAAGGCAGCUAGCCAAAUUACUGAGGAAUUACAGUGUGUGCACAGCCCUCGCAGCUCCUUCUCUUGGGAACUGCUGGUCUGGUUAGGUUCUAAGCGAGGAGUCUUCCACCCCGCCCGAUUCCACCUAAUCAGCUCAAGGGCCAGCUCCUCUUGCUGCCCUCCCUACUUCCCCGGAGCAGUUAGGCCCCCUAUGCUCAGCGUUUGUGGAGCACCUGAGGAUAGGGACCAAGUAACAGAGUCCAGGUGUUAAGUCCAAUGCAUUGUUUGCUGUCUGAAAUGCCAUCCUUCAAGGGCUUUGAGGAGAUAUGGUGGUGGACUAUACCAGCCCCAGGACAAUAAUAAGGUCCAAGAAAAUACUUUUCAACAAGACCAAAAUUAGACCAUGGAGGGGGACUUUCAGUCUGGAGUGAUGGAGCUCUAAGGAAGACAAGUACAUGAGCUCCUCAAAGACACUGGAAAAGCAUCCUAACAUGCUCUAGACAGAACAGGAAAGGGUCCUUUGGCUUGAAAGAAUCAGCAUCCAGAAGUAGUACCUCACUCUUCAUCCAGUGAUCUCCAUCCCUGAGAAAUGUGCUCUCCUAAAUUAUUUCCUCCAUUGAUAUGCCUGCUCUCCUUCCCCAAGGCAUUUGUUUUGUUGGCUAAUUCCCUUUGGUAAUUGGUUUAUCACUCUGUUAGGAGUCGUUUCCUGUGUUUAUUUCAUUAUACAGUCAAAAAAAAAAAAAAAAGAGAGAGAGCCCUUGAGUGGACCGAAGGGAUAAGGAAAAUGGUGCAUGUUUUCCUGAUGUCUACGUGCAGCAAGUGCCUUAAUCUUUGCCCCUGUCUUCCUGGUGCUGUUGCCAGGCUGAGACCCUGGUUGGAGGAAUAGAGCCUGCAGCUAGAGCAACUAAGGCAGCCUAGGAUGACUGCCAGGUCCCCCAGGAUGCAUGAGGGCUGCCCACACCAACUACUGGGGAGAGGAUUGUUAUUCCUUUGGAGGUGCUGGAGAAGGUUGGUGGGGGGAAGGUGGAAGAGAGGAAAUAAGGCAGAGAUGAGCUCAGGGUCCCCAGAGAAUGGAGCCUUUGUGUGGGGUACAGAUGAGGGACAAGGGGGUGAUUGUGUGGGAAGGCCGGAAGUGCCACAUAGACUGGCACCACCAUAGUCAGCACCAGAUUCACCCUUCUGCUCUAAGAACUCCCUGUGCCCCAAGGGGCCAGUCCCAGACAUGGUCAGGGGAAGCAGGGUAUGCCUGAAG